UGGGGAAUAUUGCACAAUGGGCGCAAGCCUGAUGCAGCAACGCCGCGUGAACGAUGAAGGUCUUCGGAUCGUAAAGUUCUGUUGCAGGGGAAGAUAAUGACGGUACCCUGUGAGGAAGCCCCGGCUAACUACGUGCCAGCAGCCGCGGUAAUACGUAGGGGGCUAGCGUUAUCCGGAUUUACUGGGCGUAAAGGGUGCGUAGGUGGUCUUUCAAGUCGGUGGUUAAAGGCUACGGCUCAACCGUAGUUAGCCUCCGAAACUGGAAGACUUGAGUGCAGGAGAGGAAAGUGGAAUUCCCAGUGUAGCGGUGAAAUGCGUAGAUAUUGGGAGGAAAACCAGUAGCGAAGGCGGCUUUCUGGACUGCAACUGACACUGAGGCACGAAAGCGUGGGUAGCAAACAGG
This 403-nucleotide ribosomal RNA is filed under the name Verrucomicrobiota bacterium. Its description in RNAcentral is "Verrucomicrobia bacterium partial 16S ribosomal RNA". It matches the Rfam family "Bacterial small subunit ribosomal RNA", at positions 355 to 776 of the family's 1533-position model. The record is from RNAcentral. Lineage: Bacteria; Pseudomonadati; Verrucomicrobiota.